CCCAGUCACCAGUUUUACCCUAGGGCGCUCCUCGCGGUUACGCACUUCAGGUACCCCCGGCUCCCAUGGCUUGACGGGCGGUGUGUACAAGGCCCGGGAACGUAUUCACCGCGCCGUGGCUGAUGCGCGAUUACUAGCGAAUCCAGCUUCGUGGAGUCGGGUUGCAGACUCCAGUCCGAACUGAGAGAGGUUUUGGGGAUUGGCAUCCACUCGCGUGGUAGCGGCCCUCUGUACCCCCCAUUGUAACACGUGUGUAGCCCCGGACGUAAGGGCCGUGCUGAUUUGACGUCAUCCCCACCUUCCUCACAUCUUACGAUGGCAGUCUUGUCAGAGUCCUCAGCGGAACCUGUUAGUAACUGACAACAAGGGUUGCGCUCGUUAUGGCACUUAAGCCGACACCUCACGGCACGAGCUGACGACAACCAUGCAGCACCUUCACAGAUGCCUUGCGGCUUACGGCUUUCACCGUAAUUCAUCUGCAAUUUAAGCCCGGGUAAGGUUCCUCGCGUAUCAUCGAAUUAAACCACAUGUUCCUCCGCUUGUGCGGGCCCCCGUCAAUUCCUUUGAGUUUCACCGUUGCCGGCGUACUCCCCAGGUGGAAUACUUAACGCUUUCGCUUGGCCGCUUGCAGUAUAUCGCAAACAGCGAGUAUUCAUCGUUUACCGUGUGGACUACCAGGGUAUCUAAUCCUGUUUGAUACCCACACUUUCGAGCCUCAAUGUCAGUUGCAGCUUAGCAGGCUGCCUUCGCAAUCGGAGUUCUUCGUGAUAUCUAAGCAUUUCACCGCUACACCACGAAUUCCGCCUGCCUCAACUGCACUCAAGAUAUCCAGUAUCAACUGCAAUUUUACGGUUGAGCCGCAAACUUUCACAACUGACUUAAACAUCCAUCUACGCUCCCUUUAAACCCAAUAAAUCCGGAUAACGCUCGGAUCCUCCGUAUUACCGCGGCUGCUGGCACGGAGUUAGCCGAUCCUUAUUCAUAAAGUACAUGCAAACGGGUAUCCAUACCCGACUUUAUUCCUUUAUAAAAGAAGUUUACAACCCAUAGGGCAGUCAUCCUUCACGCUACUUGGCUGGUUCAGGCUCUCGCCCAUUGACCAAUAUUCCUCACUGCUGCCUCCCGUAGGAGUUUGGACCGUGUCUCAGUUCCAAUGUGGGGGACCUUCCUCUCAGAACCCCUAUCCAUCGAAGACUAGGUGGGCCGUUACCCCGCCUACUAUCUAAUGGAACGCAUCCCCAUCGUCUACCGGAAUACCUUUAAUCAUGUGAACAUGCGGACUCAUGAUGCCAUCUUGUAUUAA
RNAcentral lists this ribosomal RNA (1303 nucleotides) under Phocaeicola vulgatus. RNAcentral's name for it is "partial 16S ribosomal RNA". Lineage: Bacteria; Pseudomonadati; Bacteroidota; Bacteroidia; Bacteroidales; Bacteroidaceae. The record is from RNAcentral.